AUUGAACGCUGGCGGCAGGCCUAACACAUGCAAGUCGAACGGUAACAGAAAGCAGCUUGCUGCUUUGCUGACGAGUGGCGGACGGGUGAGUAAUGUCUGGGAAACUGCCUGAUGGAGGGGGAUAACUACUGGAAACGGUAGCUAAUACCGCAUAACGUCGCAAGACCAAAGAGGGGGACCUUCGGGCCUCUUGCCAUCGGAUGUGCCCAGAUGGGAUUAGCUUGUUGGUGGGGUAACGGCUCACCAAGGCGACGAUCCCUAGCUGGUCUGAGAGGAUGACCAGCCACACUGAAACUGAGACACGGUCCAGACUCCUACGGGAGGCAGCAGUGGGGAAUAUUGCACAAUGGGCGCAAGCCUGAUGCAGCCAUGCCGCGUGUAUGAAGAAGGCCUUCGGGUUGUAAAGUACUUUCAGCGGGGAGGAAGGGAGUAAAGUUAAUACCUUUGCUCAUUGACGUUACCCGCAGAAGAAGCACCGGCUAACUCCGUG
Molecule: ribosomal RNA, 490 nt
Filed under: uncultured bacterium
Lineage: Bacteria
Description: partial 16S ribosomal RNA
Rfam family: Bacterial small subunit ribosomal RNA
Source: RNAcentral